RNAcentral lists this ribosomal RNA (779 nucleotides) under Bacillus sp. (in: firmicutes). RNAcentral describes it as "bacterial SSU rRNA". It matches the Rfam family "Bacterial small subunit ribosomal RNA", at positions 56 to 817 of the family's 1533-position model. Lineage: Bacteria; Bacillati; Bacillota; Bacilli; Caryophanales; Bacillaceae. The record is from RNAcentral.
UGCAGUCGAGCGGAGAAAUGGGAGCUUGCUCCCAUUUCUCAGCGGCGGACGGGUGAGUAACACGUGGGCAACCUGCCCUACAGACUGGGAUAACUCCGGGAAACCGGAGCUAAUACCGGGUAAUACAUAGCAUCGCAUGAUGCAACGUUGAAAGUUGGCCUUUGGCUAACACUGUAGGAUGGGCCCGCGGCGCAUUAGCUAGUUGGUAAGGUAACGGCUUACCAAGGCCACGAUGCGUAGCCGACCUGAGAGGGUGAUCGGCCACACUGGGACUGAGACACGGCCCAGACUCCUACGGGAGGCAGCAGUAGGGAAUCUUCCGCAAUGGACGAAAGUCUGACGGAGCAACGCCGCGUGAGUGACGAAGGCCUUCGGGUCGUAAAGCUCUGUUGUUAGGGAAGAACAAGUACCGUUCGAAUAGGGCGGUACCUUGACGGUACCUAACCAGAAAGCCACGGCUAACUACGUGCCAGCAGCCGCGGUAAUACGUAGGUGGCAAGCGUUGUCCGGAAUUAUUGGGCGUAAAGCGCGCGCAGGCGGUCUCUUAAGUCUGAUGUGAAAGCCCACGGCUCAACCGUGGAGGGCCAUUGGAAACUGGGGGACUUGAGUGCAGAAGAGGAGAGUGGAAUUCCACGUGUAGCGGUGAAAUGCGUAGAUAUGUGGAGGAACACCAGUGGCGAAGGCGGCUCUCUGGUCUGUAACUGACGCUGAGGCGCGAAAGCGUGGGGAGCGAACAGGAUUAGAUACCCUGGUAGUCCACGCCGUAAACGAUGAGUGCU